UUGCGUAGGCGGUUUGUUAAGUAGAUAGUGAAACCUGGUGGCUCAACCAUACAGACUAUUAUCUAAACUGGCAAACUCGAGAAUGGUAGAGGUAAUUGGAAUUUCUAGUGUAGGAGUGGAAUCCGUAGAUAUUAGAAGGAACACCAAUGGCGUAGGCAGAUUACUGGACCAUUUCUGACGCUAAGGCACGAAAGCGUGGGGAGCAACC
This 208-nucleotide ribosomal RNA is filed under the name uncultured bacterium. Its description in RNAcentral is "partial 16S ribosomal RNA". It matches the Rfam family "Bacterial small subunit ribosomal RNA", at positions 567 to 773 of the family's 1533-position model. The record is from RNAcentral.